UAUUUACAAGCGUCCUCAGCUGCCUACAC
Molecule: non-coding RNA, 29 nt
Filed under: Rattus norvegicus (Norway rat)
Lineage: Eukaryota; Metazoa; Chordata; Mammalia; Rodentia; Muridae
Source: RNAcentral